RNAcentral lists this unclassified non-coding RNA (349 nucleotides) under Hevea brasiliensis (rubber tree). Lineage: Eukaryota; Viridiplantae; Streptophyta; Magnoliopsida; Malpighiales; Euphorbiaceae. The record is from RNAcentral.
GAUUCUUCUGAUUUUCUUGCAUCUUGUUCCUCUUUCUGCACACGUGACAAUAAGGAAUCAAUUUCUGCAAAUACUGAAUCUUUGCCGCGGUUCCCAUCAAUCUUAUUCAUUAUAUCUGAGUACACUGGUAAUAUUGCUUCAGCAUUUUGCUUGUAUAUUUGCAGACGUGAUUUCACCUUUUCCUCUGUGUCAUCAGGACGAGUUAUGAGCCUUGCUUUGAUGUCCUCGGUCUCUGGAGGGAAAUUAGUAACAUGGUAUAUUUUACCAGUGAGAGGAUCUAGCCUUCUACCAACACAUCUGUCAAUAAGAAUCGCAUCAGGAACAUCAAGCACAAUGUAGAUAUCUGGUC